RNAcentral lists this ribosomal RNA (778 nucleotides) under uncultured Neocallimastigales. Its description in RNAcentral is "partial large subunit ribosomal RNA". It matches the Rfam family "Eukaryotic large subunit ribosomal RNA", at positions 24 to 611 of the family's 3401-position model. The record is from RNAcentral. Lineage: Eukaryota; Fungi; Neocallimastigomycota; Neocallimastigomycetes; Neocallimastigales.
UAUCUCUGUAGAGUCUGCAUAUCAAUAAGCGGAGGAAAAGAAACUAACAAGGGAUUCCCUUAGUAACGGCGAGUGAAGCGGGAAGAGCUCAAAUUUGAAAUCUUCAAGGUUUUACCUUGACGAAUUGUAGUUUAUAGAAGUGUUUUCUGUAGUGGAGUUCGGUAAAAGUUCUUUGGAAUAGGACAUCAUAGAGGGUGAGAAUCCCGUAUUUGACCGUUAUUCUCUAGCUGUGUGAUACACUUUCAAAGAGUCGGAUUGUUUGGGAAUGCAGUCCAAAAUGGGUGGUAAAUUUCAUCUAAAGCUAAAUAUUGGCGAGAGACCGAUAGCGAACAAGUACCGUGAGGGAAAGAUGAAAAGAACUUUGAAAAGAGAGUUAAACAGUACGUGAAAUUGUCAAAAGGGAAGCGUUUGACACCAGUGUUGUUUUCUCGAAAAUCAAUUAAAAAUGGCUUGAUUUUGUGUUGUAUUGACCUUAAAAGCUUUCUGCACUUUUUUCAUGUCUUUUUUAAUGCACUUUUCGUUUAACAAGUCAACAUCAGUUUCUUUUGUUGUAAAAAGGUCAUUGGAAGGUGGCUUUCUUUUCGGAGAAAGUGUUUAUAGCCUUUGACUCCUGCAAUCGGAGAGACUGAGGUCUGCAGCGUAGAUCCUUCUUGGAUUAGAUUCAUUUGUGCUAAGUUAUAGCUUUUUAUAGACAACUUGUUGACUAUAUUUAGUCUUGUAGCUUACUCGCUUAUGCAAUUUUACCUACGCUUAGGAUGUUGAACGCGCACAGAGUCUC